RNAcentral lists this ribosomal RNA (484 nucleotides) under uncultured bacterium. RNAcentral's name for it is "partial 16S ribosomal RNA". It matches the Rfam family "Bacterial small subunit ribosomal RNA", at positions 30 to 507 of the family's 1533-position model. The record is from RNAcentral.
AUUGAACGCUGGCGGCAGGCCUAACACAUGCAAGUCGAGCGGAUGAAGGGAGCUUGCUCCUGGAUUCAGCGGCGGACGGGUGAGUAAUGCCUAGGAAUCUGCCUGGUAGUGGGGGAUAACGUCCGGAAACGGGCGCUAAUACCGCAUACGUCCUGAGGGAGAAAGUGGGGGAUCUUCGGACCUCACGCUAUCAGAUGAGCCUAGGUCGGAUUAGCUAGUUGGUGGGGUAAAGGCCUACCAAGGCGACGAUCCGUAACUGGUCUGAGAGGAUGAUCAGUCACACUGGAACUGAGACACGGUCCAGACUCCUACGGGAGGCAGCAGUGGGGAAUAUUGGACAAUGGGCGAAAGCCUGAUCCAGCCAUGCCGCGUGUGUGAAGAAGGUCUUCGGAUUGUAAAGCACUUUAAGUUGGGAGGAAGGGCAGUAAAUUAAUACCUUGCUGUUUUGACGUUACCAACAGAAUAAGCACCGGCUAACUUCGUG